GGAAUAAAGGCUCCUGAGAAAAAGGUAACAUUGUUAAGCUAUCUUCAAGCUCAAUGAACUUCUCUUGUUUUUGCUAUUUUUUUUUUCUCUUAUAUAAUCUUCAAUAUUUUGGAUGUUACUGUUACCAAGUGUCCAAGUCCUUAUUGGCAACAUUCUUUUACUCUCUCGAAUAUAUACCUUAAAUGAAAUUUGGAGCUUAUUUGUAUUUGAGUAAUCAUAAAGUAAUGCUAUAAAGGGUCAACACCCUCCUGGGUACUGCAAUCUGAGUUGUGCAUCCCAAUUCGUGGGAUGUUUACAUCCCAAAUUGUUGGGGGCACACGAUCUGGGUAGCCAAUAUAGGAGUUCCAUUGAAAAAGGAAGAAAGGAAGGAGUAGAAAUAGAAGAAGAAAGGAAGAAGUCGAAAGAGAAGAAAGACAUGCGGAGGAGAAGAAAAGCGACACAGGGAAGAAGCAGCAACCAACUCUUUUGGUUGGGAGACAUGAUUUGUUUCUUUUUUACUAUUUUAGUGGGUUAGGUGGGACCUUGGUCUCGGUAAUAUACAAUAAAUGCUGGUAAGAGUAAUUUAUUGCUAGAUAUGUGAGUUAUAGAAAAUAUAAAUAUUAUUAAUUAUAUUUUUAAAUUAUUUAAAAUUUUAUUAUUUU
This 641-nucleotide unclassified non-coding RNA is filed under the name Hevea brasiliensis (rubber tree). The record is from RNAcentral. Lineage: Eukaryota; Viridiplantae; Streptophyta; Magnoliopsida; Malpighiales; Euphorbiaceae.